This 463-nucleotide ribosomal RNA is filed under the name uncultured bacterium. Its description in RNAcentral is "partial 16S ribosomal RNA". It matches the Rfam family "Bacterial small subunit ribosomal RNA", at positions 28 to 507 of the family's 1533-position model. The record is from RNAcentral.
GAUGAACGCUGACAGAAUGCUUAACACAUGCAAGUCGAUGGGGAAGUGGUGCUUGCACCAUGGUAACCAUGGCGGACGGGUGAGUAACGCGUAAGGAACUUGCCUGCGGGACUGGGAUAACAGCAGGAAACUGCUGAUAAUACCGGAUAAGGUCAUUAAGCUGCAUAGCUUAGUGAUGAAAGGAGACGCCUGCGGAGAGCCUUGCGUCCUAUUAGCUAGUUGGAGGGGUAACGGCCCACCAAGGCGAAGAUAGGUAGCCGGCCUGAGAGGGUGGACGGCCACAAGGGGACUGAGAUACGGCCCUUACUCCUACGGGAGGCAGCAGUGGGGAAUAUUGGACAAUGGGGGCAACCCUGAUCCAGCAAUUCUGUGUGCACGAAGACGGUUUUCGGAUUGUAAAGUGCUUUCAGAAGAGAAGAAGGAAGUGACGGUACCUGCAGAAGAAGCGACGGCUAAAUACGUG